UAAAAAGUUGGGGGAUGACCUGUGGUUAGGGGUGAAAGGCCAAUCAAACUCCGUGAUAGCUGGUUCUCCCCGAAAUGCAUUUAGGUGCAGCGUUGCGUGUUUCUUGCCGGAGGUAGAGCUACUGGAUGGCCUAGGGGCCCUACCAGGUUACCGAAGUCAGCUAAACUCCGAAUGCCGGUAAGUCAGAGCGCGGCAGUGAGACUGCGGGGGAUAAGCUUCGUAGUCGAGAGGGAAACAGCCCAGAUCGCCGGCUAAGGCCCCUAAGCGUGUGCUAAGUGGGAAAGGAUAUGGGAUCGCAUAGACAACCAGGAGGUUGGCUUAGAAGCAGCCACCCUUGAAAGAGUGCGUAAUAGCUCACUGGUCAAGUGGUUCCGCGCCGACAAUGUAGCGGGGCUCAAGCACACCGCCGAAGCCGCGGCACUCCAACAUUAACCAGGCAUUGGUUGACGCUAAUGUCCAGGUGUUGGGGUGGGUAGGGGAGCGUCGUGUCACCGGGGAAGCAGCAGCGUGAGCUAGCUGUGGAGGUGACGCGAGUGAGAAUGCAGGCAUGAGUAGCGAAAGCAGGGUGAGAAACCCUGCCGCCGGAUGACCAAGGGUUCCAGAGUCAAGCUAAUCUGCUCUGGGUGAGUCGGGGCCUAAGGCGAGGCCGAGAGGCGUAGUCGAUGGAUAACGGGUUGAUAUUCCCGUACCCGCAACACAACGCCCACGCCGAUAGCCGCAAUACUAACCUUCUGAUGCUGCCAAUACCUUCGGGUGGCGGUGGUGGAGGCUGGGGCCUUUGUGGUGUGUAGGUGAGUGAUGGGGUGACGCAGGAAGGUAGUCCAGCCCAGGCGGUGGUUGUCCUGGGGUAAACGUGUAGCCCGUCGUGUAGGCAAAUCCGCACGGCAUAUGAGGGUGAGACGUGAUGCCGAGCCGUAUCAGGUGAAGUGGAUGAUCCUAUGCUGCCGAGAAAAGCCUCUAGCGAUGUUGUGCGCGGCCCGUACCCUAAACCGACACAGGUGGUCAGGUAGAGAAUACCAAGGCGAUCGGGUGAACUGUGGUUAAGGAACUCGGCUAAUUGCCCCCGUAACUUAGGGAGAAGGGGGGCCACUGCUGGUGAACGGACUUGCUUCGGGAGCUGGUGGUGGUCGCAGAGAGCAGGGGGAAGCGACUGUUUACUAAAAACACAGGUCCAUGCCAAGUCGUAAGACGCUGUAUAUGGACUGACGCCUGCCCGGUGCUGGAACGUUAAAAGGACCUGUUAGCCUCUAGGGGCGAAGCGGAGAAUUGAAGCGCCAGUAAACGGCGGUGGUAACUAUAACCAUCCUAAGGUAGCGAAAUUCCUUGUCGGGUAAGUUCCGACCUGCACGAAUGGCGUAACGACUUCCCCACUGUC
Molecule: ribosomal RNA, 1375 nt
Filed under: metagenome
Description: bacterial LSU rRNA
Rfam family: Bacterial large subunit ribosomal RNA
Source: RNAcentral